This 468-nucleotide ribosomal RNA is filed under the name uncultured bacterium. Its description in RNAcentral is "partial 16S ribosomal RNA". It matches the Rfam family "Bacterial small subunit ribosomal RNA", at positions 28 to 507 of the family's 1533-position model. The record is from RNAcentral.
GACGAACGCUGGCGGCGUGCUUAACACAUGCAAGUCGAACGGAAAGGCCCUGCUUUUGUGGGGUGCUCGAGUGGCGAACGGGUGAGUAACACGUGAGUAACCUGCCCUUGACUUUGGGAUAACUUCAGGAAACUGGGGCUAAUACCGGAUAGGAGCUCCUGCUGCAUGGAGGGGGUUGGAAAGUUUCGGCGGUUGGGGAUGGACUCGCGGCUUAUCAGCUUGUUGGUGGGGUAGUGGCUUACCAAGGCUUUGACGGGUAGCCGGCCUGGGAGGGUGACCGGCCACAUUGGGACUGAGAUACGGCCCAGACUCCUACGGGGGGCAGAGGUGGGGAAUAUUGCACAAUGGGCGGAAGCCUGAUGCAGCAGCGCCGCGUGCGGGAUGACGGCCUUCGGGUUGUAAACCGCUUUCGCCUGUGACGAAGCGUGAGUGACGGUAAUGGGUAAAGAAGCACCGGCUAACUACGUG